AGACUUUGAUCCUGGCUCAGGAUGAACGCUAGCGGCAGGCCUAAUACAUGCAAGUCGAACGGUAUAAGUUGUAGCAAUAUGACUUAGAGAGUGACGUAAGGGUGCGUAACACGUAUGCAAUCUACCCUCAACAGGAGUAUAGCUCGGGGAAACUCGGAUUAACACUCCAUAAUAUCAUUUGAAGGCAUCUUCAGAUGAUUAAAACUGUGGUGGUUGAGGAUGAGCAUGCGUCUGAUUAGUUAGUUGGAGGUGUAACGGACCCCCAAGACGAUGAUCAGUAGGGGAACUGAGAGGUUGAUCCCCCACACUGGCACUGAGAUACGGGCCAGACUCCUACGGGAGGCAGCAGUAGGGAAUAUUGGUCAAUGGGUGAGAGCCUGAACCAGCCAUGCCGCGUGCAGGAAGACGGCCUUCUGGGUUGUAAACUGCUUUUAUCUGGGGAUAAAAAGCCCAUGCGUGGGACAUUGAAGGUACCAGAUGAAUAAGCACCGGCUAACUACGUGCCAGCAGCCGCGGUAAUACGUAGGGUGCAAGCGUUGUCCGGAUUUAUUGGGUUUAAAGG
RNAcentral lists this ribosomal RNA (562 nucleotides) under uncultured bacterium. RNAcentral describes it as "bacterial SSU rRNA". It matches the Rfam family "Bacterial small subunit ribosomal RNA", at positions 8 to 566 of the family's 1533-position model. The record is from RNAcentral.